RNAcentral lists this unclassified non-coding RNA (405 nucleotides) under soil metagenome. RNAcentral describes it as "partial contains 5.8S ribosomal RNA, internal transcribed spacer 2, and large subunit ribosomal RNA". The stretch from base 1 to 121 matches the Rfam family "5.8S ribosomal RNA", at positions 35 to 154 of the family's 154-position model. The record is from RNAcentral.
GAUGAAGAACGCAGCGAAAUGCGAUAAGUAAUGUGAAUUGCAGAAUUCAGUGAAUCAUCGAAUCUUUGAACGCACCUUGCGCCCUUUGGCCAUUCCGAAGGGCAUGCCUGUUUGAGUAUCAUGAACACCUCAACUCUUUAUGGUUUUCCAUGAUGAGCUUGGACUUUGGGGGUUUUGUUGGCCUAUGGUCGGCUCCUCUAAAAUAAAUCAGCUUACCGGUGUUUGGUGGGUAUCAUGGGUGUGAUAACUAUCUACGCUUGUGGUUUUUCCACCAGGUAACCUUCGACAGCUGAGGUUCACUGGAGCUCACAGAUGUCUCUCCUCAGCGAGGACAGCCCUUUGAAUGUUUGAUCUCAAAUCAGGUAGGACUACCCGCUGAACUUAAGCAUAUCAAUAAGCGGAGGA